RNAcentral lists this ribosomal RNA (459 nucleotides) under uncultured bacterium. RNAcentral's name for it is "partial 16S ribosomal RNA". It matches the Rfam family "Bacterial small subunit ribosomal RNA", at positions 338 to 795 of the family's 1533-position model. The record is from RNAcentral.
CCUACGGGAGGCAGCAGUGAGGAAUAUUGGUCAAUGGCCGAGAGGCUGAACCAGCCAAGUCGCGUGAGGGAAGACGGUCCCACGGGUUGUAAACCUCUUUUGUCGGGGAGCAAAGACAGUCACGUGUGACUGACUGAGAGUACCCGAAGAAAAAGCAUCGGCUAACUCCGUGCCAGCAGCCGCGGUAAUACGGAGGAUGCGAGCGUUAUCCGGAUUUAUUGGGUUUAAAGGGUGCGCAGGCGGAGGUGCAAGUCAGCGGUAAAAUUGCGGGGCUCAACCCCGGACUGCCGUUGAAACUGCAUCCCUUGAGUGCGCGAGAAGUAUGCGGAAUGCGUGGUGUAGCGGUGAAAUGCAUAGAUAUCACGCAGAACUCCGAUUGCGAAGGCAGCAUACCGGCGCGCAACUGACGCUCAUGCACGAAAGCGUGGGUAUCGAACAGGAUUAGAUACCCUAGUAGUC